UCAUUAGCGAGUCUGUAAAACAGCUCCAUAAAACCCAUGUGAACGUACCGUCAUGUUGCCUCGGCAGGUCGUGCUGUCGGGUCGCCGGCUACCACCUCCUUUAGGGGCUACCCUGUACUUACCCUAUAGGAGUUACCCUGGAGUUGGUAGUAGCUACCCUGCAGCACGCAACCUGGCCUGCCGAAGGUCUCUAAACUCUGUUUUUUUAUAUUACCUGUACUUCUGAAUUUUCGUAUGCGAAUACGUUACAACUUUCAACAACGGAUCUCUUGGUUCUGGCAUCGAUGAAGAACGCAGCGAAAUGCGAUAAGUAAUGCGAAUUGCAGAAAUUCAGUGAAUCAUCGAAUCUUUGAACGCACAUUGCGCCCAAUAGUAUUCUGUUGGGCAUGCCUGUUCGAGCGUCAUUUCGACCAUUAAGCCUUGUCUGCUUAGCGUUGGGAAUUUACGUACCCUGUAAUUCCUUAAAAUCAGUGGCGGAGCUGGGUCAUGCUCUAAGCGUAGUAACUAAAUCUCUCGCUUAUGCGGCUGGCCUGUCUCCUGCCAUAAAGACCCCCCUAUAUAAGUUUUAUAUGGGAAAAACAUCUAGUGGUUGACCUCGGAUCAGGUAGGAAUACCCGCUGAACUUAAGCAUAUCAAUAAGCGGAGGAAAAGAAACCAACAGGGAUUGCCCUAGUAGCGGCGAGCGAAGCGGCAACAGCUCAAAUUUGAAAUCUGGCCCUCGGGUCCGAAUUGUAAUUUGUAGAGGAUGCUUUUGGCGCGGUGCCUUCCGAGUUCCCUGGAACGGGACGCCGUAGAGGGUGAGAGCCCCGUACGGUUGGACACCAAGCCUCUGUAAAGCUCCUUCGACGAGUCGAGUAGUUUGGGAAUGCUGCUCUAAAUGGGAGGUAAAUUUCUCCUAAAGCUAAAUACUGGCCAGAGACCGAUAGCGCACAAGUAGAGUGAUCGAAAGAUGAAAAGCACUUUGAAAAGAGGGUUAAAUAGCACGUGAAAUUGUUGAAAGGGAAGCGUUUACGGCCAGACCUUCUCCUAGCGGAUCAUCCGGUGUUCUCACCGGUGCACUCUGCCAGGUUUAGGCCAGCAUCGGCUCCUGUAGGGGGAUAAAAGCCUCGGGAAAGUAGCUCUCUCGGGAGUGUUAUAGCCCGUCGCAUAAUACCCUUAUGGGGACCGA
Molecule: ribosomal RNA, 1168 nt
Filed under: fungal endophyte
Lineage: Eukaryota; Fungi
Description: eukaryotic LSU rRNA
Rfam family: Eukaryotic large subunit ribosomal RNA (bases 591-1168)
Source: RNAcentral